UACCAGCACCCCGAGUGGUCGGGACGAUUAUUGGGCCUAAAGCAUCCGUAGCCGGUCCUGCAAGUCUUCCGUUAAAUCCAGCUGCUCAACAGAUGGGCUGCGGGGGAUACUACAUGGCUAGGAGGCGGGAGAGGCAAGCGGUACUUUAUGGGUAGGGGUAAAAUCCGUUGAUCCAUAGAAGACCACCAGUGGCGAAGGCGGCUUGCCAGAACGCGCUCGACGGUGAGGAAUGAAAGCUGGGGGAGCAAACCGG
This 253-nucleotide ribosomal RNA is filed under the name uncultured bacterium. RNAcentral describes it as "partial 16S ribosomal RNA". It matches the Rfam family "Archaeal small subunit ribosomal RNA", at positions 474 to 727 of the family's 1478-position model. The record is from RNAcentral.